AUUGAACGCUGGCGGCAGGCCUAACACAUGCAAGUCGAACGGUAACAGGAAGCAGCUUGCUGCUUUGCUGACGAGUGGCGGACGGGUGAGUAAUGUCUGGGAAACUGCCUGAUGGAGGGGGAUAACUACUGGAAACGGUAGCUAAUACCGCAUAACGUCGCAAGACCAAAGAGGGGGACCUUAGGGCCUCUUGCCAUCGGAUGUGCCCAGAUGGGAUUAGCUAGUAGGUGGGGUAACGGCUCACCUAGGCGACGAUCCCUAGCUGGUCUGAGAGGAUGACCAGCCACCCUGGAACUGAGACACGGUCCAGACUCCUACGGGAGGCAGCAGUGGGGAAUAUUGCACAAUGGGCGCAAGCCUGAUGCAGCCAUGCCGCGUGUAUGAAGAAGGCCUUCGGGUUGUAAAGUACUUUCAGCGGGGAGGAAGGGAGUAAAGUUAAUACCUUUGCUCAUUGACGUUACCCGCAGAAGAAGCACCGGCUAACUCCGUG
This 490-nucleotide ribosomal RNA is filed under the name uncultured bacterium. RNAcentral describes it as "partial 16S ribosomal RNA". It matches the Rfam family "Bacterial small subunit ribosomal RNA", at positions 30 to 507 of the family's 1533-position model. The record is from RNAcentral.